RNAcentral lists this signal recognition particle RNA (312 nucleotides) under Methanomassiliicoccales archaeon. RNAcentral's name for it is "signal recognition particle sRNA". It matches the Rfam family "Archaeal signal recognition particle RNA". The record is from RNAcentral. Lineage: Archaea; Methanobacteriati; Thermoplasmatota; Thermoplasmata; Methanomassiliicoccales.
CGCUAGGCUUGACCGGGACGCUCGGCGUGUCCUUGUACACCGAAAUCGUCGAUACGCGGGGGUGACAGCGGGGGACGUCGUAUCCGGAGAGCCUUAGGCCCAUGAGCAGGUGCUGAUGUCCUGUCCUGCGGGGUCGGUGGCUGCAUCGUGGCGCAGCUGGAGGGUUGCGCCCCUUGCUCUAAUCGCGGGGACCGGGUCAGGCCCUGACGGGAGCAGCCUAACCGCGGACUACCUACGCUCGAAGGGGAGCGGGGCGGAGCUUGCGCAUGGCAAACCUAGGGCGACCCGAACGGCAACCUUCGUGGCCUAGCA